Molecule: long non-coding RNA, 540 nt
Organism: Bactrocera dorsalis (oriental fruit fly)
Lineage: Eukaryota; Metazoa; Arthropoda; Insecta; Diptera; Tephritidae
Exons: 2
Source: RefSeq, a predicted model, not a curated record
AUAAAUCCAUACUUAUUUUGUUAGGUUCAGGUGUUAUGGAUAUGUGAACAAAACUAUGACACUAUAACUAUGUAGCAACUUGUUGCCAGCUAUAUUAAGCACGAUAAAGAUAGAGAAAAUAGAAAUCGUGUUUUAGUAAUAAAAUUGUCAUUUCAUGAUUUUCAUUAUAUAUCGUAGAUAAUAUUAGCCGUGUAGAAAUUUCGUAUAAAUACUGCUCGCACUCCAAGUUUAUUCACAAUUCCAUUGAAUAUUCAGUUAAAAUGGCGACCUUCAACAAGAUUUUCUUCAUUUGCGUCUUGGUACCCGCCUUACUGAUGGCGAUCGUCCUACCAGCAGUUACAGCGGAAGAUUCAGCCGAAUAUUCAGUUUUGGUGAAGAGGGGUAUCAAUCUUGCUAAAGUGGUGAAAGUAGUCAAACCAGUAGUAAAGGCACUGGCACCUUUAUUAGCAAACAUCUAAACCCGAAACAACCGAAGCGUACAUUAUCUUUAAAUUAAGCUUUGUCAAAUUUUUGCAAUAAAUGUUGCGAGCAUAUAAAAAA